This 468-nucleotide ribosomal RNA is filed under the name uncultured bacterium. RNAcentral describes it as "partial 16S ribosomal RNA". It matches the Rfam family "Bacterial small subunit ribosomal RNA", at positions 28 to 507 of the family's 1533-position model. The record is from RNAcentral.
GACGAACGGGGGGGGGGGGGGGAACACAUGCAAGUCGAACGGAAAGGCCCUGCUUUUGUGGGGUGCUCGAGUGGCGAACGGGUGAGUAACACGUGAGUAACCUGCCCUUGACUUUGGGAUAACUUCAGGAAACUGGGGCUAAUACCGGAUAGGAGCUCCUGCUGCAUGGUGGGGGUUGGAAAGUUUCGGCGGUUGGGGAUGGACUCGCGGCUUAUCAGCUUGUUGGUGGGGUAGUGGCUUACCAAGGCUUUGACGGGUAGCCGGCCUGAGAGGGUGACCGGCCACAUUGGGACUGAGAUACGGCCGAGACUCCUACGGGAGGCAGCAGUGGGGAAUAUUGCACAAUGGGCGGAAGCCUGAUGCAGCAACGCCGCGUGCGGGAUGACGGCCUUCGGGUUGUAAACCGCUUUCGCCUGUGACGAAGCGUGAGUGACGGUAAUGGGUAAAGAAGCACCGGCUAACUACGUG